AGCAGCCGCGGUAAUUCCAGCUCCAAUAGCGUAUAUUAAAGUUGUUGCAGUUAAAAAGCUCGUAGUUGAAUUUCGAGACCGGUUUAUUGGUCGUGCUUUUGUACGUACUGGUAUUAUUGGUUUCUCCUUUCUGACGAAUCUUAAUGCCAUUAAUUUGGUGUUUUGGGGAAUCAGGACUGUUACUUUAGAAAAAAUUAGAGUGUUUAAAGCAGGCUCACGCUUGAAUACAUUAGCAUGGAAUAACGGAAUAGGACGUUUGAUUCUAUUUUGUUGGUUUCUAGGAUCGACGUAAUGAUUAAUAGGGAUAGUUGGGGGCAUUAGUAUUCAAUUGUCAGAGGUGAAAUUCUUGGAUUUAUUGAAGACUAACUACUGCGAAAGCAUUUGCCAAGGAUGUUUUCAUUAAUCAAGAACGAAAGUUAGGGGAUCGAAGACGAUCAGAUACCGUCGUAGUCUUAACCAUAAACUAUGCCGACUAGGGAUCGGAUGAUGUUAAUUUUUAAUGACUCAUUCGGCGCCUUAC
Molecule: ribosomal RNA, 520 nt
Filed under: uncultured Glomus
Lineage: Eukaryota; Fungi; Glomeromycota; Glomeromycetes; Glomerales; Glomeraceae
Description: SSU rRNA
Rfam family: Eukaryotic small subunit ribosomal RNA
Source: RNAcentral